GCGUCGGUAGUGCAUUUGGUUGAGCACGCGACCCCUGGAAAGGAUUUUAUGAGGGUUUGAGUCCUGCCUGACGUCA
Parelaphostrongylus tenuis is the source of this 76-nucleotide non-coding RNA. The record is from the annotation of a GenBank genome assembly. Lineage: Eukaryota; Metazoa; Nematoda; Chromadorea; Rhabditida; Metastrongylidae.